GACGAACGCUGGCGGCGUGCUUAAUACAUGCAAGUCGAACGGACAGGCCCUGCUUUUGUUCGGUGCUCGUUUGGCGAACGGGUGAGUAACACGCGUGUAACCUGCCCUUGUCUGUGGGAUAACUCUAGGGAACUCGGGCUAUUACCGCAUAGGAUCUCCUGCUCCAUGGUGUGGGAUGGAAAGAUUCGGCGGUGGGGGAUGGACUCGCGGCUUAUCAGCUGGUUGGUGGGGUAGUGGCUUACCAAGGCUUUGACGGGUAGCCGGCCUGAGAGGGUGACCGGCCACAUUGGGACUGAGAUACGGCCCAGACUCCUACGGGAGGCAGCAGUGGGGAAUAUUGCACAAUGGGCGGAAGCCUGAUGCAGCAACGCCGCGUGCGGGAUGACGGCCUUCGGGUUGUAAACCGCUUUCGCCUGUGACGAAGCGUGAGUGACGGUAAUGGGUAAAGAAGCACCGGCUAACUACGUG
This 468-nucleotide ribosomal RNA is filed under the name uncultured bacterium. RNAcentral's name for it is "partial 16S ribosomal RNA". It matches the Rfam family "Bacterial small subunit ribosomal RNA", at positions 28 to 507 of the family's 1533-position model. The record is from RNAcentral.